GUCAAUAGAUUGGAAUGUUAAAAAAAAAUAUAAUCAGAUGCUCCUAUAAUCAAAGACAGUAGCAAAGCAUUCAAAGAAAAUAAAGCAACAAAAGUGACAAAUCAUCGGUUAUUUACAGACAAUAACUAAAAUCCAUGGAGACGUUGAAUGGCGAAUAAUAAUAACUAAUAGAGAUUAGUAGUCGUUGGAUUUAUAUCAGUUUAGACGAUGUCAACCGCGGAUUAUCAGUUAUCAGCCUUGCUUUGAAGAAGUAAAAGUACGAGACGUUCUAAUGUUCGUAGGCUAAUGCUGUAUAAUAGUCCAGAAACAGAACACCAAAGUUUUCUCAGUGCGAGUGACCAAUCCAUUCGGAAUUCGAAGCGAUGUCAAUAUUAGGAACCCUUCGAAUUACCUUCUUUUAACAUGUUUUCAGCAUCCGACCGGGAUAAGGCUCCGUGAUACCAGGAAAUACUUUCUUCGGUCUUCAACAAUCUUUGCUUAAAAUGACGUUGUUAGAUCCACGCAUGAGUCCACUGACAUUGAGUUACACACAAAUGUUUUUCAUGUUUGACCGCGAAGGUUAUAUCAUUGGUAUAUGCAGAAUCACUUAUCGACAGCUUCAAAAAGGUAACAGCAUCACAACUUCGACAGAAAAUCUCACGGCGGCAGCACCUCGUCGGAUUUUGCACAAUCGGUGAUCAUGAUAUUUUAAUUUUUUCUCCUUUGAUGUGAUACGUGAACAUCAUGCGUACACCACGUAUACAUACCAGCGAAUGUUGAUACGUGCUCGUCUACUACGUGCAAUACGUGUCAUCGCAUGACACCGAUGACACGUUGAACCAUCGGAACGUCUUUCAUUGGGUGUUCAUCGUUGAGUGAUUACAGUUGUUAGUGACAUCUCUAAGGAGAACCACAUUGAGAAACUAUAAUUCAGAAGGUUUCAAG
This is a long non-coding RNA of Athalia rosae (coleseed sawfly), 924 nucleotides long. RefSeq lists it as uncharacterized. NCBI's taxonomy places the organism in Eukaryota, Metazoa, Arthropoda, Insecta, Hymenoptera, Athaliidae. The record is from RefSeq and is a predicted model, not a curated record. The transcript is spliced from 2 exons.